Molecule: transfer RNA, 75 nt
Filed under: Thermoplasmata archaeon
Lineage: Archaea; Methanobacteriati; Thermoplasmatota; Thermoplasmata
Description: tRNA-Arg
Rfam family: tRNA
About the family: Transfer RNA (tRNA) molecules are approximately 80 nucleotides in length. Their secondary structure includes four short double-helical elements and three loops (D, anti-codon, and T loops). Further hydrogen bonds mediate the characteristic L-shaped molecular structure. tRNAs have two regions of fundamental functional importance: the anti-codon, which is responsible for specific mRNA codon recognition, and the 3' end, to which the tRNAs corresponding amino acid is attached (by aminoacyl-tRNA synthetases). tRNAs cope with the degeneracy of the genetic code in two manners: having more than one tRNA (with a specific anti-codon) for a particular amino acid; and 'wobble' base-pairing, i.e. permitting non-standard base-pairing at the 3rd anti-codon position.
Source: RNAcentral
GGGCCUGUAGCCUAGCCUGGAUAUGGCACUGGUCUUCUAAGCCAGUGAUUGUGGGCUCGAAUCCCACCGCAUCCG